AGGUUCCCAGAACAAGGCUACAACAUGUCUGGCUCCAUGAGUUGAGUGAAACUGAAAUUUCCCAAAAGCCUGGAGACAUUUGGAAGGAGGAGCUCGCCUAUGCUGAACAGAUCCUUUCUGUUACCACAUCAGCCGUGAUGAAACCAAGGCAGAUCCAUGUUCAGAAAGGGAUUUACAGGUGUGCCACUACUGCCAAUCAAACCCUGGUGCUCUGGGAUUCAAACAGGACUAAGGAGUCGCCCUGCUGAGUGCCACAGCAUCUGCAGCUGCCUCAGGGUACUUUGGUGGGAGCCCUUCAAACCUUUAUGUUCAGAACAGCACCUAUGUCAUAAGGACUUCAUCAAGUCCCAGUGAAAUUGCUCCAUUCUGUACUACAGCCUUGAAGGUCGUGCUGCUGCUGUUGUGCAUCUGAGUCCCAGUGCUAGAAAUUAAAAGGUUCAGAGAAUCGUGACACCAAGUAAAGGCCCAAAGCUGCACUCCUGACAGCUUCUCUUCACAGCACUGUUCUUGCUCUGAGCAUGUUCCAGUGUCUCUGCACUCCCAGCCCACCUGCAGCAGCUGGGGCCAGCCAAAGCAGGCUCUCGUAGCCUGGUGUUCCUGCUGGGAGCUUCUCACAGCGCGAGCAACCUCCUCUCCAGCGGAUCACAGGUGUUCUCCACAUGAUGGGAGCAGGUGUGCAGGGCCAGGCAGCAAAGCCUUUUGGGGACGUGCUCAGAGUCACACCGAGGAUCUGCUGAGCAAAGAGGAGCACCAACAGGUUCAGCAUUGCCUGUGGUACCCUUGUUCCCUGCAUCCCUUCCCAGCAAAGACAUGGCAGGGCAGAGCCCUGGUCCCAGGUGUUGGUAAGUGCAGCUGAGGUCAUGUCCACUCCGAGGACAAGGAGCCAAGU
Long non-coding RNA from Camarhynchus parvulus, 889 nucleotides. RefSeq lists it as uncharacterized. The record is from RefSeq and is a predicted model, not a curated record. Lineage: Eukaryota; Metazoa; Chordata; Aves; Passeriformes; Thraupidae. The transcript has 7 exons.